This 253-nucleotide ribosomal RNA is filed under the name uncultured bacterium. RNAcentral's name for it is "partial 16S ribosomal RNA". It matches the Rfam family "Bacterial small subunit ribosomal RNA", at positions 524 to 776 of the family's 1533-position model. The record is from RNAcentral.
GACGGAGGGUGCAAGCGUUGUUCGGAUUGACUGGGCGUAAAGGGCGUGUAGGCGGUCUGCCAAGUCUGAUGUGAAAGCCCGAGGCUCAGCCUCGGAAGUGCGUCGGAAACUAGUCGGCUGGAGCGCGAUAGAGGAGGGUGGAAUUCCUGGUGUAGCGGUGAAAUGCGUAGAUAUCAGGAGGAACACCGGCGGCGAAGGCGGCCCUCUGGAUCGUUGCUGACGCUGAGACGCGAAAGCGUGGGGAGCAAACAGG